UACGGAGGGUGCAAGCGUUACCCGGAAUCACUGGGCGUAAAGGGCGUGUAGGCGGGAUGUUAAGUCUGACUUUAAAGACCAUGGCUCAACCAUGGGAGUGGGCUGGAUACUGGCAUUCUAGACAACUGGAGAGGCGAUUGGAAUUACUGGUGUAGCGGUGGAAUGCGCAGAUAUCAGGAGGAACACCAAUAGCGAAGGCAGCUCGCUGGGACGUUACUGACACUAAGGCGCGAAAGCGUGGGGAGCGAACAGG
Molecule: ribosomal RNA, 253 nt
Filed under: uncultured bacterium
Lineage: Bacteria
Description: partial 16S ribosomal RNA
Rfam family: Bacterial small subunit ribosomal RNA
Source: RNAcentral